Chelonoidis abingdonii (Abingdon island giant tortoise) is the source of this 191-nucleotide small nuclear RNA. Its record names the gene U2. It matches the Rfam family "U2 spliceosomal RNA". Rfam says of the family: U2 is a small nuclear RNA (snRNA) component of the spliceosome (involved in pre-mRNA splicing). The record is from Ensembl. NCBI's taxonomy places the organism in Eukaryota, Metazoa, Chordata, Testudines, Testudinidae.
AUUAAAUCUCUGCUGUUCUCAGCUAAAAUCAAGUGUAUUGUCUAAUGUUUUCAAUUUAAUGUCUGAUGUGUUUUAUUUGAGCAGUGUACAUCAAAUUGAUUUUUGAAGUAGGGUGAUGGAAUAGGAGCUUGCUUUGUCCACCCCAUGUAUCAACAUGCUGUGGUAGUAUUUCUAGGAAUGGUACCUUUCAU